CCUGUUACAUACUUUUCAACGAAUCUCGUAUACCCUGUUACUCUACGAGUAACGGGUAUAAUUAUGCUACAGUUAAAACGACGAGAUCUCUGCAACUAUAUCAACUAUGUCUGUGGAAAUACGGACUUCAUAUGUUGCACCAUGCUGGUCAAGACCCUGCAGCAAUGCUGUAUAGCUAAGGGCUGAAGAACAGUCUAGCCUUGUUAUUUUGGAAAGUACUCUGCGAAAGCUAAAUUGUGAUUUAUAAAAUCUUUUUUGGCAUAGUUUUGGGCUUACUUUAUUAAUAAAACGAAUAAAUUUUU
Drosophila yakuba is the source of this 302-nucleotide long non-coding RNA. RefSeq lists it as uncharacterized. NCBI's taxonomy places the organism in Eukaryota, Metazoa, Arthropoda, Insecta, Diptera, Drosophilidae. The transcript is spliced from 2 exons. The record is from RefSeq and is a predicted model, not a curated record.